GGCAGCAUAGCCAGUUGGUAAGGCAAAGGUUACAAAACCUCGAUUCUCGGUUCAAUUCCGGGUGCUGCCUCCC
Molecule: transfer RNA, 73 nt
Filed under: Bacilli bacterium VT-13-104
Lineage: Bacteria; Bacillati; Bacillota; Bacilli
Also listed under: 1 other name
Description: tRNA-Cys
Rfam family: tRNA
About the family: Transfer RNA (tRNA) molecules are approximately 80 nucleotides in length. Their secondary structure includes four short double-helical elements and three loops (D, anti-codon, and T loops).
Source: RNAcentral